This 442-nucleotide ribosomal RNA is filed under the name uncultured bacterium. RNAcentral describes it as "partial 16S ribosomal RNA". It matches the Rfam family "Bacterial small subunit ribosomal RNA", at positions 338 to 795 of the family's 1533-position model. The record is from RNAcentral.
ACUACGGGGGGCUGCAGUGAGGAAUAUUGGUCAAUGGGCGCGAGCCUGAACCAGCCAAGUAGCGUGAAGGAUGACUGCCCUACGGGUUGGAAACUUCUGUCAGUGGGGACGAAAGAUGACGGUACCCACAGAGGAAGCACCGGCUAACUCCGGGCCAGCAGCCGCGGUAAUACGGUGGGUGCAAGCGUUGUCCGGAAUCAUUGGGCGGAAAGAGUUCGUAGGCGGUAUGUUAAGUCUGGUGUUAAAUGCAGAAGCUCAACUUCUGUUCGGCACUGGAUACUGGCAAACUAGAAUGCGGUAGAGGUAAAGGGAAUUCCUGGUGUAGCGGUGAAAUGCUUAGAUAUCAGGAGGAACAUCGGUGGCGUAAGCGCUUUACUGGGCCGUAAUUGACGCUGAGGAACGAAAGCCAGGGUAGCAAAUGGGAUUAGAUACCCUUGUAGUC